RNAcentral lists this long non-coding RNA (296 nucleotides) under Carica papaya (papaya). RNAcentral's name for it is "long non-coding RNA (CPAP_LNC005989)". Lineage: Eukaryota; Viridiplantae; Streptophyta; Magnoliopsida; Brassicales; Caricaceae. The record is from RNAcentral.
CGGGGUAUUGAGGUUUAUGGUUUUGGCGCCCAUACCGGACGGGGUAUGGGGACGGCCCGUUUCACCCUCAUACCGGACGGGGUAUUGAGGUUCAUGGUUUUGGCGCCCAUACCGGACGGGGUAUGGGGACGGCCCUGGAAACUGAUUAUGAAUGUUAAAGAUUAACGGGUAGCGGAACCCCUAUGGACCCCCACGGAUACUAGUAGGCUGGUAAAUAAGGAAAAUAUGUUGUACAAUGAUUGAAUUACAAGAGGCGUGAUAAGUGUUAUGUUUUACAGCUUAGAUUAUUCAAUGAU